UACGUAGGUGGCAAGCGUUGUCCGGAAUUAUUGGGCGUAAAGCGCGCGCAGGCGGUUUCUUAAGUCUGAUGUGAAAGCCCCCGGCUCAACCGGGGAGGGUCAUUGGAAACUGGGAAACUUGAGUGCAGAAGAGGAAAGUGGAAUUCCACGUGUAGCGGUGAAAUGCGUAGAGAUGUGGAGGAACACCAGUGGCGAAGGCGACUCUUUGGUCUGUAACUGACGCUGAGGAGCGAAAGCGUGGGGAGCGAACAGG
This 253-nucleotide ribosomal RNA is filed under the name uncultured bacterium. RNAcentral's name for it is "partial 16S ribosomal RNA". It matches the Rfam family "Bacterial small subunit ribosomal RNA", at positions 524 to 776 of the family's 1533-position model. The record is from RNAcentral.